CCUACGGGUGGCAGCAGUGAGGAAUAUUGGUCAAUGGACGAGAGUCUGAACCAGCCAAGUAGCGUGAAGGAUGACUGCCCUAUGGGUUGUAAACUUCUUUUAUAUGGGAAUAAAAUGUUCCACGUGUGGGUUUUUGUAUGUACCUUCUGAAUAAGGAUCGGCUAACUCCGUGCCAGCAGCCGCGGUAAUACGGAGGAUCCGAGCGUUAUCCGGAUUUAUUGGGUUUAAAGGGAGCGUAGGUGGAUUGUUAAGUCAGUUGUGAAAGUUUGCGGCUCAACCGUAAAAUUGCAGUUGAUACUGGCAGUCUUGAGUACAGUAGAGGUGGGCGGAAUUCGUGGUGUAGCGGUGAAAUGCUGAGAUAUCACGAAGAACUCCGAUUGCGAAGGCAGCUCACUGAACUGCAACUGACACUGAGGCUCGAAAGUGUGGGUAUCAAACAGGAUUAGAUACCCUGGUAGUC
RNAcentral lists this ribosomal RNA (460 nucleotides) under uncultured bacterium. RNAcentral describes it as "partial 16S ribosomal RNA". It matches the Rfam family "Bacterial small subunit ribosomal RNA", at positions 338 to 795 of the family's 1533-position model. The record is from RNAcentral.